Molecule: ribosomal RNA, 508 nt
Filed under: uncultured bacterium
Lineage: Bacteria
Description: bacterial SSU rRNA
Rfam family: Bacterial small subunit ribosomal RNA
Source: RNAcentral
AGAGUUGAUCCUGGCUCAGGAUGAACGCUGGCGGCGUGCUUAACACAUGCAAGUCGAACGGAGUUUUAAACGGAAGUCCUCGGAUGGAAGUUUAGAAACUUAGUGGCGGACGGGUGAGUAACGCGUGGGUAACCUGCCUCAUACAGGGGGAUAACAGUCGGAAACGAUUGCUAAAACCGCAUAACAUAGCGAAACCGCAUGAUUUUGCUAUCAAAUAUUUAUAGGUAUGAGAUGGGCCCGCGUCUGAUUAGCUAGUUGGUGGGGUAAUGGCCUACCAAGGCGACGAUCAGUAGCCGGCUUGAGAGAGUGACCGGCCACAUUGGGACUGAGACACGGCCCAAACUCCUACGGGAGGCAGCAGUGGGGAAUAUUGGACAAUGGGGGAAACCCUGAUCCAGCGACGCCCGCGUGAGUGAAGAAGUAUUUCGGUAUGUAGAGCUCUAUCAGCAGGGAAGAUAAUGACAGUACCUGACUAAGAAGCCCCGGCUAACUACGUGCCAGCAGCCGC